GUCAGUGAUUACGCAAAGACAAUGGACUAAUACAGCUUCGUACUUCGACAAUAAACACUUUCGCCCUAUUUAAUUGGGGGUAAUAGCGAGUAUUUUCUCAGUAGCAUAUUUGGCUGGAAGAAGCAACGAUGUCAAACAGCAGAAAUAUUACGUUGUGGUUCCGCGUAGAACGCCCUGCUGGGCCCCUGGUUGCGAGCGAUAAACCCACCAGCAACGCGGUCACCGGUACCCCUGUCGGCAGUGGUACUAAACGUGUCCAAGAUGAUGUUACAACGAAAAGUGCAAAAAAAUAAACUCUAGAUUUGAUGCACAAUGGACAACAAAAUAUACGUGGCUGAGAGAAACAUCCGAUGGCAAAGGAAUGCUGUGACACAUAUGUGGAAAAUUCAACUUAAAAACAUCCAGAAAUAGUUCUUUGGUAUGGAAUUCUAUGCCAUGUAUAACUAUUACGAAAUAUGCUAUCGAUAAACACGCACACUCGGAGAUGCACAAGAAGGCCAUGUCAUUUAAUAGAAGUGGGAAGCAAAGACAAUCAUGGCGUUCUCAAAAGCUGCAGAUCACUGGGCUUCCAUGAAAGUCCGAAGAAUCAACAUUACAUAGAAAUCACACAGCAGCAGAUUCAUUUAAUCUUCUACAUAAAUUUGUUAAAAAAUAAAGACACAUUUUCAUCCAUGCAA
Long non-coding RNA from Saccoglossus kowalevskii, 677 nucleotides. RefSeq lists it as uncharacterized. The record is from RefSeq and is a predicted model, not a curated record. NCBI's taxonomy places the organism in Eukaryota, Metazoa, Hemichordata, Enteropneusta, Harrimaniidae.